CACGUAGGGGGCAAGCGUUGUCCGGAAUUAUUGGGCGUAAAGAGCUCGUAGGCGGUUCGUCGCGUCGGCUGUGAAAACCCGGAGCUCAACUCCGGGCCUGCAGUCGAUACGGGCGGACUUGAGUGUUGCAGGGGAGACUGGAAUUCCUGGUGUAGCGGUGAAAUGCGCAGAUAUCAGGAGGAACACCGGUGGCGAAGGCGGGUCUCUGGGCAACUACUGACGCUGAGGAGCGAAAGCGUGGGGAGCGAACAGG
RNAcentral lists this ribosomal RNA (253 nucleotides) under uncultured bacterium. RNAcentral's name for it is "partial 16S ribosomal RNA". It matches the Rfam family "Bacterial small subunit ribosomal RNA", at positions 524 to 776 of the family's 1533-position model. The record is from RNAcentral.